RNAcentral lists this unclassified non-coding RNA (6877 nucleotides) under Homarus americanus (American lobster). RNAcentral describes it as "aTP-binding cassette sub-family C member 9-like, transcript variant X4". The record is from RNAcentral. Lineage: Eukaryota; Metazoa; Arthropoda; Malacostraca; Decapoda; Nephropidae.
CCUCUAGCGGGGUAAGACGUGCAACACAGCUCUCUUACUCACUCACACUCACUCACACGCACUCACUCACUCACUCCCACACUUUAUCUGUAUCUCACUCACGGUAUCCGGCAGAUGAGUGUCUCGACCGGCUGUCUCGCGGUUUCCUGUGGUGCGGGAGUCAACUUAGUGUGAAAUUUGAGUGUUAAUGCUGAACUACUUGCUCGGCCUGGGCACCCAUGGUCGACCAUACUGAGAGGCGGCAGAUUAUGACACGCCACUGUAUGACACACGUGGCUAUGACUGGUGCAUGACAGUUGCCUCAGGAUGGGAGCAGUGAGCUGUCAUGCGGGUGGUGGACGUGGCGUGACAACUACUGUCAUAACGAGAGCAGUGACAAUGUGUAAGGAGAUGCACCACUGCUACCACGUCUGACAGUGAAACAACGGUGAACAGUUUAAGUAAUUUAACAGAAUAUAAGACGUAAUAAGAAAAGUGUGGCUUAAUAACAGUGAAAUUAAUGAAUUGUGUCAAAUCUUGGAAGACAUUGAGAGUGUGACGUCAUUAAACAUAGUGAUGUAAAGUUUUCUUAUCUCUUAGUAAGAAUUAUUAACAAUUCCUGGAGGGAUUUAAGGUUUUUAUGGUGUACUUGAGUGUUUACUGGGUACUCGUGAAGCACUUUUAGACGGUUUAAGAUGUAAUAAUAAUUGGUGUAGUUACCCUUGAAAAAUGUUUCGUUUUCUAAACAGAUUAAUGAAAAAGUAUGGCAAGAUUAUUCUUUACAGUGAUGCUUCAGACGUGAUAUAACUCUUAAAAUGGAUAACACUUCAGGUUCAAGGGUCAAUUAUGGGUUACGGGGCAACAUAGAGUCAGAAGUGCCUCCCGGAGAAGAUCUAUUGACCUCGGCAACGACGGAGAUGGUUCUGAAGGAAUUCCUGUCGUCAGUGGGCAGGAGUAUGGCCGGACCUCAGCCGUCACGCACUGAGUAUGUCAACCUCACGGCCAUUAAGAUCAAAUAUGACGCCCUGGCUGCCCUCACUUCCACGCCGCCCACGCCCCUCCUCUCACUCUGCCUACCCGACACCCCUGACCUCCUGGCCAUGGGCGUGUGGAGCGCCUGGGCGUGGGUAAUGAUAACGGUGUUGUUGUGCCGCAGUUUAUGUACCCGCACCCCACCUUUCACCACGCCCAUACUCCUUCACGCCCACGUUCUCCGCACUCUUACACUGCUGGUCCUCACUCUGGUCCACGUAGCCGCAUGCGGGGAGGCGGGGCUGAGGUACUGGAGGUCCGCAUCACCGCACAUACUACUGGUGCCUGCCGCAGCUGCCGCCCUCUCCACCACCCUCAUCACCGCCGUGUUCUACCAUACUAUAGAGUGCUGGCGCUGUCCUGCCUAUAUCGUGGUGACGGUGGGCGUGUGGGCGUGUGGGGCGGGUGUGGGUGUGGUGAGAGUGCGGCAGAUAGUGGGCGUAGGCGUGCCAGAGUGGGCGGUGUACCCUGGGGUGGUGGUGGGCGGCCUAGUACUCACUGGCAUCAUGUUUAUCAUCGACCUGUGGACAUUACUGCGCUGGACAUACCGUCAACGACAUUCAGAAGUGCUGGAGAUCACCCCGGGAGCUGAGGAGGUGGGCGCGGGCGGCAUAGGAGGCACGGGGGGCGUGGGUAGCGCGGGUGUUACCUAUCGCCACCCAUUGGUAGGUCUGGCCACCCGUGCGACCUUCGCCUGGUUCCUGAAUGUGCUGAGGCUGGGCUGGCGGCGACCUCUGGAGUUCUCUGACUUCGGCAAGUUACCGAGGGAGGAGGAGGCUCGAUACCAGUACGACAGGUUCUUUAAGCAGUACCAGAGAGCUCAGGUCAACUCAAGCACUCCAGGUCAAGUAGGGUGGGAGGUCAGGUCACCGUCACUGUGGAAGGUGUUUGCCAGCAUCUACUGGAGGGAGAUGCUGGCUGGUGGAGUCUUUAAACUACUGGGUGAUGGAGUGAACGUCGUGGGCCCUCUUGCUAUUGGUCUCAUUGUCACCUACGUCACGCAGGUCCAGGAUGGCACUUUAGUUCAUCACGGUGUAGUGGUCAGCGAGCUGUACUACGUGGGGUGGAAGGAGGUGUUGAGGAACGGCUGGGUGGUAGCAGUGGUGGCCCUUGUAGCUGCCUUAGCACAGUCCACCUUCAGUCAGGCCUCUUCACACCUCGUGGCCAUGGAGGGUAUCCACGUGAAGGCCGCCCUCCAGGCCAUGAUCUACCGCAAGUCCCUCCGGUUAUCGAGUAGGACCUUGGCUGAAGAUCCCCCUGCGGCCACUGAGUCAACCACUACCGACGGGAACCCCAAAGCAGGUGUGAAGGUGUCAGGGGGCGGGACCAGAGGGAGUGUGGACGCCGGCAGUGUCAUUAACCUGAGCUCUGAGGACGCUGACAACCUUAUGACUUUCUUCAUGCACUGCCACUACAUCUGGGCCAUCCCUCUCAAGGUGAGCGUGAUCAUGGUGUUGCUGUGGGUACAAUUGGGCAUAUCUGCCGUGAUCGCUGCCGUGGUGGGGAUCCUGGUGUUGACGCCCCUCCAGUGUCUACUGUGUAAGAAGAUUGGUGCGGUGAAUAAGAAUUUUCUGGACGUGAGUGAUGACCGGCUUCGUCAGACACACGAACUAGUGACGGGGGUGAAGCUGGUGAAGGUGCAUGCCUGGGAGGACGUGUUCAUUAAGCGCAUCACCGCCGUCAGACACAAGGAACUCAAGCUCCUCCAACACGACUCUAUACUCAGAGCCCUUAUGACCUUCCUGACGCAGGGGUCGGGUGUGAUCGUGUGUUUGGUCACCUUCGGCCUCUAUUCGUGGCUAGAGUCGGCGGCACUAGAGCCAGCCAGGGUCUUCUCCGGCUUGGCACUCUUCAACCAGCUCACAGUGCCACUCUUCAUUCUCCCCAUCAUCGUCUCACACACCAUCACGGCCAUGAACAGCACACGACGCCUUCAGAAAUUCUUCAGUUCCCCGGAAGUAGAAGGACCUAAGACUCCAAAGACUCCUAUCACGUUGAGGAUCCCCCGAGGAGGAGGAGGAGGAGGAGGUCAGACUUCCCUAGGAGCCAAGCUGAACCUCAAGGAAAAUAAGUUACUGGAUGACAACAAGACGGUCAGGUUGUCUCAGGUCACCGAGGAGAGCAGGCCUACAUCAACGUGUUCGAUGGCGUCAACAGAAUCCAAGACCUCAAGCUCGACUUCAGCCAAGGAGAAGGUCGACCUCAACUCCUCCACCCUCAACAGCGACUCAGAGGAGGAGCUGGAGUUUGAGGGAUGGAAGAAGAGGAAGAAUGGUGGCGUCCGGAUGACAUCAGAGGAGCGUGAGGUGGCCGUGAGCAUACAGAGCGGCACCUUCACCUGGGAGCAUCGUGGCCACCUGACCGUCCUUGAGAAUAUCACGACCGAGAUGGCCACAGGAGGGCUGACGGUGGUGGUGGGAGGCGUCGGGGCAGGCAAGACCUCCCUCCUGCUGGCGCUGCUGGGGGAGAUGCAUACACUGAGAGGACAGCUACGGUGGACAGGGGAGAUGUCCGUGGCGUACGUGUCUCAACAUCCGUGGCUCAUGAACUCAACCCUGAAGGACAAUGUUGUGUUCGGCCGACGACUACUGAUGCGGCGGUAUCAGAGAGUCCUACAAGCCUGUGCCCUCACCCCUGACAUUGAGAUCCUUCCUGCAGGAGACCAGACGGAGAUAGGAGAGAGAGGCAUCAAUCUCUCAGGGGGACAGAGACAGAGGGUAGCCAUAGCCCGGGCACUGUACUCUAACGCCCGCACUGUAAUACUGGAUGCCCCCUUCUCCGCCCUGGACGUCGGGGUCAGCACUCAGGUGUGGGAGGAAGGUAUCCGUCAGCUUCUCCUGCGCCGCCGAAGGACUGUUAUCCUCGCUACCCACCUCACACACCUCACACGCCAGGCUGACAAGAUCAUCUACCUAGAGGGCGGCAGGAUCGUACUUCAAGGGAGUCCUGCGGAGGUGUCCAAGGCGUCCCCAAGGCUGUGGCAGGAGUGGGGGGCCAAGGAGGGCGUGGUGGCUGUAGGAGGGGAGAGCAAAGGACGCCUCGAGGGACGUACUGCCAUGGAGAGGUGGACACUCCUUCGUCUGGUGACCCGCAUCACUAUACAGAGGACCUCAGUGUGUAGAGACGUGAGGAGGGAGAGUGUGGAGGAGAACAAGGAGGAGAACUACGGCCAACAUACUCUCGAUAGUCGACUCAUGAGGCAAUACAGUGUUAACCGCCACGUCUCCCACAAUGCCCUGCUACCUGGUGACGAGUGUGAGUACCUACCAGCACUCACCCCGCCACUCUCUCGUCACUCCUUCCACCACACGCACUCACCCAAACUCCAGCUCUUCAGAAUUAAGUCCAGUGCUCCAGCCUUUGGUCGUAAGUCAUCACAGUUCCAGCGAGCACGACUCCCUCGCCACGCCAAGAGUCUGCCCCCCCAACCACGCCCCCUACCCCGGAUGAGGUCCUCCCCAGCCGUGGUACCUCAGGGGAACAUGCUACACAGGCUCUUCUCCAACGCCUCUAUCAAGACCUCCAAGUGCCCUAGCACCUCGGGAACAGACAAAUGGCACCUCGGCCGUAUCCUCUCCUCCUCCAACAACCUGGGAGACGACUUGGAGGAGGACCUAGAGCUGGAGGAGGAGGUGCCCCUUGAGGAGGAAGUGGAGGACGGGCGCCUGAUGGGGGAGGAGGACAGAGAGAGAGGACGAAUCUCCAAGUGGAACUACAUGGUGUACCUGAAGGCGUGUGGACUCGGUCUCGGCUUGAGCUACCUCUUCUGUGCCUUUGUUGGUCAGGGAGUCUCCGUGGGGCUGGACUUAUGGUUGAAGAACUGGUCGGGUGAGGCCAGGUCCUGGAACACGACGGAACUCAGUAACUGGCAGGCCUUCAGGGACUACCAGACACAGAGGGACGAUGACACCGUCGGCAGGAGGAGGACCUUCAACAUAGACCCUCACGUUCUGCACAUCCGAGAGAGAUACAACGCCUUUAUCGUAGAGACGAUGCACUACUACUACCGCAUCUACGCCAUCCUCUCCGUGGUAUCCAUUCUCUUCUCCCUCUCCACCAAUCUCCUGGGCCAGUUCGCUGCAGCUCGGGGUAGGAAGUGUCUCCACCAGAAUAUGUUGGAGAACCUCAUUCAUUGUCCCAUCAGGUUCUUCGACACCACCCCCGCUGGCAGGAUCAUGAACCGCUUCACCACAGACACCGCCAUGAUUGAUAAGGAGCUGGCCAGGUCGUUGACACAUCUGUUGUUCUUUGUGUUGAUGGUCGCGUCGGCGGUGCUGGUGAACGUGGCCGUCACUCCCUACUUUUUAGCCGCCGCCGUCCCCAUCUGCGCCCUGUACUAUGGCGUUCAAAAGUUCUUCAGGUGUUCCUCAAGAGAGCUGAAGCGCCUGGAGAGCUUGUCACGGUCGCCUCUCUACAGCCACCUGAGCGAGAGUGUCGGCGGGGCGGUGGUGAUCAGAGCUUAUGGGGACCAGCGUAGGUUUACAGACGUCCUCCUUCACCGCCUCGACACACACCUCACAGCCUUCACCCUCCUACAUGCCGGGAACCGCUGGCUGGGGAUAUGUCUGGAUUACAUCGGCGGGUUAAUCGUGUUCUUCGCCACCUCCGCCUCACUCCUCUACUCCACCGUCGCUAGCCACAAGCUCGGUCCCGCUAUGGUCGGUCUGGCCAUCAACUACACGCUGCUGGUGCCCGUCUAUCUCAACUGGGUAGUGAGGUUCUUAGCUGAUACUGAGAUGUGUCUUAAUGCAGUGGAACGCGUCCAACACUACGCCUCCUUACCGCGUGAAGAGAAGACCUGUCGCAGCACCGUUAAUGAGACUGUAGAGACAUUGCCUCACUACCGUCGACGAACCAGCCAGAUGAGUCAUAGAUCCUGGAGGUCUAGGUCAUCGUCUGAGUCAGGGUCAAGUAGGAGGUCAUCAGGGUUACCUCCCGGCUGGCCCUUGGAGGGUAAGGUGGAGUUCCGUGAUGUCACAUUGACUCAUGACCCCAGCCUUGACCCCGUGCUGACCGGCCUCAACUUCACCAUCAAGCCCGGAGAGAAGGUAGGGUUGUGUGGCCGUACAGGUAGCGGGAAGAGCUCAUUAAUCCUGAGUCUGUACCGCUUGGUGGAGGCUCGUCACGGCACCAUCCAGGUAGACGGCACUAACAUACAGCACGUGCCUCUCUCACUGCUCCGUGGCUCUAUCUCAGUCAUCCCGCAGGACACCCACCUCUUCUGCGGCACCCUCAGGUUCAACUUGGACCCAUUAGGACAGCGGCCAGACGAUCACCUGUGGAAGGCGCUGGAGGUGGCCCAGCUCCAGUCACUGGUGUCAGAGAUGCCCGAGGGUUUAGAGACCCAAGUGAGGGAAGGUGGCAGUAAUUUCAGCGCCGGACAACGUCAGCUCUUCUGUGUGGCGAGGGCAGUACUGAGGCGCUCCUCCCUCCUCAUACUCGACGAGGCUACUUCCGCCCUCGACACCUCCACCGAGAAGGCUCUCCACCACGCCCUCCACACCGCCUUCGCCCACGCCACUGUCAUCACUAUAGCAGUCCACUGUAAAUGUUCGUGUCAACUGUCAGCCUGUCAUUUGUUGGACCAAAACUUGUAAACAAACUCAGCUGGCAGAGAAGUCCAGCCGAAUUAUGGACGAUUACACGUUAUUGGUAAUUGGAAAAUAGGUGAAACAGAUGCUGGGUGCUAGGCCGCCUCAACACUGCCAGUCACCAUAGCAGCACAGCCUACCUGGGACACCACCCAAGCAACUCUCUAGCGAUGGACCCAAACUCUGCACCUCCAGCUCAGCAGACUCCACUCCUCCAGCUCAGCAGACUCCACUCCUCCAGCUCAGCAGACUCCACUCCUCCAGCUCAGCAGACU